Molecule: ribosomal RNA, 696 nt
Filed under: uncultured bacterium
Lineage: Bacteria
Description: bacterial SSU rRNA
Rfam family: Bacterial small subunit ribosomal RNA
Source: RNAcentral
UACAUGCAGUCGACGGGAUUGGAGAGCUUGCUUUCCAUGAGAGUGGCGUACGGGUGCGUAACGCGUAUGCAACCUACCUUCAUCAGGGGGAUAGCCCGAAGAAAUUCGGAUUAACACCGCAUAAAAACACAGGCUGGCAUCAGUCAAUGUUCAAAUAUUUAUAGGAUGAAGAUGGGCAUGCGUGUCAUUAGCUAGUUGGUGAGGUAACGGCUCACCAAGGCGACGAUGACUAGGGGAUCUGAGAGGAUGACCCCCCACACUGGUACUGAGACACGGACCAGACUCCUACGGGAGGCAGCAGUAAGGAAUAUUGGUCAAUGGAGGCAACUCUGAACCAGCCAUGCCGCGUGCAGGAAGACAGCCCUAUGGGUCGUAAACUGCUUUUAUACGGGAAUAAACCUUGAUUCGUGAAUCAAGCUGAAUGUACCGUAAGAAUAAGGAUCGGCUAACUCCGUGCCAGCAGCCGCGGUAAUACGGAGGAUCCAAGCGUUAUCCGGAUUUAUUGGGUUUAAAGGGAGCGUAGGCGGCCUAUUAAGUCAGGGGUGAAAGACGGUGGCUCAACCAUCGCAGUACCUUUGAUACUGAUGGGCUUGAAUGUAGUUGAGGUAGGCGGAAUGUGACAAGUAGCGGUGAAAUGCAUAGAUAUGUCACAGAACACCGAUUGCGAAGCAGCUUACUAAGCUAUGAUUGACGCUG